Molecule: ribosomal RNA, 771 nt
Filed under: uncultured Planctomycetota bacterium
Lineage: Bacteria; Pseudomonadati; Planctomycetota
Description: bacterial SSU rRNA
Rfam family: Bacterial small subunit ribosomal RNA
Source: RNAcentral
GUAAAGAGCACGUAGGUGGGUUUGUAAGUCAGAUGUGAAAGCCUUCUGUUCAACGGAAGAAUUGCAUCUGAAACUGCGAGUCUUGAGUGUAGGAGGGGAGAAUGGAACUUCUGGUGGAGCGGUGAAAUGCGUAGAUAUCAGAAGGAACGCCGGCGGCGAAAGCGAUUCUCUGGCCUAUUACUGACACUCAGUGUGCGAAAGCUAGGGGAGCAAACGGGAUUAGAUACCCCGGUAGUCCUAGCUGUAAACGAUGGGCACUAAGUAGAGGGAAUUACCGAUGUUCUCUCUGCCGUAGCUAACGCAUUAAGUGCCCCGCCUGGGGAGUACGGCCGCAAGGCUAAAACUCAAAAGAAUUGACGGGGGCUCGCACAAGCGGUGGAGCAUGUGGCUUAAUUCGAUGCAACGCGAAGAACCUUACCGGGGCUUGACAUGUUAGAAGUAGGAACCCGAAAGGGUAACGAACGGUAUCCAGUCCGUAACUUUCACAGGUGUUGCAUGGCUGUCGUCAGCUCGUGUCGUGAGACGUUGGGUUAAGUCCCCUAACGAGCGAAACCCUUGUUUUUAGUUACCAGCGGGUUAUGCCGGGUACUCUAGAAAGACUGCCGUCGUCAAGACGGAGGAAGGUGGGGAUGACGUCAAGUCAUCAUGGCCCUUAUGCCCCGGGCUGCACACGUGCUACAAUGGUCGGUACAAACGGAAGCGAAACCGAGAGGUGGAGCGAAUCCUAAAAAGCCGAUCUCAGUUCGGAUUGGAGGCUGAAAUUCGCCUCCA